RNAcentral lists this ribosomal RNA (253 nucleotides) under uncultured bacterium. RNAcentral's name for it is "partial 16S ribosomal RNA". It matches the Rfam family "Bacterial small subunit ribosomal RNA", at positions 524 to 776 of the family's 1533-position model. The record is from RNAcentral.
UACGUAGGAUGCAAGCGUUGUCCGGAUUUAUUGGGUUUAAAGGGUGCGUAGGCGGCCUAUUAAGUUAGUGGCGAAAACGUUCGGCUUAACCGGAUACCCACCAUUGAUACUGAUAGACUUGAGUGCGACAGAGGGUGUUGGAAUGUGUGGAGUAGCGGUGAAAUGCUUAGAUAUCACGCAGAAGACCAAUUGCGAAGGCAGAUGCCUAUGUCGUAACUGACGCUGGGACACGAAAGCGUGGGGAGGAAACGGG